AGGAUGAACGCUGGCGGCGUGCCUAACACAUGCAAGUCGAGCGAUCUUCUUCCGGAAGAGAGCGGCCGGACGGGUGAGUAACGCGUGGGUAACCUGCCCUGUACACACGGAUAACAUACCGAAAGGUAUGCUAAUACGGGAUAAUAUAUGAGAGUCACAUGACUUUUAUAUCAAAGCUUUUGCGGUACAGGAUGGACCCGCGUCUGAUUAGCUAGUUGGUAAGGUAACGGCUUACCAAGGCGACGAUCAGUAGCCGACCUGAGAGGGUGAUCGGCCACACUGGAACUGAGACACGGUCCAGACUCCUACGGGAGGCAGCAGUGGGGAAUAUUGUACAAUGGGCGAAAGCCUGAUGCAGCAACGCCGCGUGAGCGAUGAAGGCCUUCGGGUCGUAAAGCUCUGUCCUCAAGGAAGAUAAUGACGGUACUUGAGGAGGAAGCCCCGGCUAACUACGUGCCAGCAGCCGCGGUAAUACGUAGGGGGCUAGCGUUAUCCGGAAUUACUGGGCGUAAAGGGUGCGUAGGCGGUCUUUCAAGCCAGAAGUGAAAGGCUACGGCUCAACCGUAGUAAGCUUUUGAAACUAAAGAACUUGAGUGCAGGAGAGGAGAGUAGAAUUCCUAGUGUAGCGGUGAAAUGCGUAGAUAUUAGGAGGAAUACCAGUAGCGAAGGCGGCUCUCUGGACUGUAACUGACACUGAGGCACGAAAGCGUGGGGAGCGAACAGGAUUAGAUACCCUGGUAGUCCACGCCGUAAACGAUGAGUACUAGGUGUCGGGGGUUACCCCCCUCGGUGCCGCAGCUAACGCAUUAAGUACUCCGCCUGGGAAGUACGCUCGCAAGAGUGAAA
This 846-nucleotide ribosomal RNA is filed under the name uncultured bacterium. RNAcentral's name for it is "bacterial SSU rRNA". It matches the Rfam family "Bacterial small subunit ribosomal RNA", at positions 26 to 899 of the family's 1533-position model. The record is from RNAcentral.